UUUCCGUAGGUGAACCUGCGGAAGGAUCAUUAUUGAAUCCAAAGGAUGUUGCUGGCCUUUCGGGGCAUGUGCACUCCACCUUUUCAAUACACCUGUGAACUUAGUGUAGGUGCAGAUGUAAAAAGUCUGUUGCCUACGUUUUUAAUACACCCUUAAAAAGUAUAUUGAAUGUUUAAUUGUGGCCUUUGAUGGUCAACAAACUUAAUACAACUUUCAACAAUGGAUCUCUUGGUUCUC
Molecule: unclassified non-coding RNA, 237 nt
Filed under: soil metagenome
Description: partial contains small subunit ribosomal RNA, internal transcribed spacer 1, and 5.8S ribosomal RNA
Source: RNAcentral